GAUGAAGAACGUAGCGAAAUGCGAUAAGUAAUGCGAAUUGCAGAAUUCAGUGAGUCAUCGAAUCUUUGAACGCACAUUGCGCCCUGUGGUAUUCCGCAGGGCAUGCCUGUUCGAGCGUCAUUUCAACCCUCAAGCCCCGCUUGGUGUUGGGCCCCGCCCGCUGUGGCCGGCCCUAAAGACAGUGGCGGCGCCGCCUGGCCCUCAGCGUAGUACAUCUCUCGCUCCAGGGUCCGGUGGCCGCCUGCCAGAACCCCCCCACUCUGUGGUUGACUUCGGAUCAGGUAGGGAUACCCGCUGAACUUAAGCAUAUCAAUAAGCGGAGGA
Molecule: unclassified non-coding RNA, 324 nt
Filed under: soil metagenome
Description: partial contains 5.8S ribosomal RNA, internal transcribed spacer 2, and large subunit ribosomal RNA
Rfam family: 5.8S ribosomal RNA (bases 1-120)
Source: RNAcentral